AUGGACACUGCUGCCAGAGAGGAUUUCCAGAGACAAUUAGGAGCCAAAGCACUUGGGACAAACUUGAAGGCACUGGAUCAUCAUCACAGCUCAGGCUCCCCAAACCUUCCCAGGGGAAGGGUUAAUCAGGGGAUAAUGUCCCCUCUUAUUGCCCCUCAACUGGGGGCCAUGCAGAGCCAAAAAACAGGGCAGAGGCUCCAGCCCAGCUUCUCUUACUGGGAGAUGGAGAAAUGCACAGCCACAGCCCAGUUUAAAGCACCAGUGCUGAGACUGGGGCACUUCCCAAAAGGGGAAACUGAGGCAGGCCCAAGCAUUGCUCCUCCCCCCGAGCUCCCCAGAGUCCCAGGCAGCCUGAGCAUCUCCAGCAAAUCCUUCAAAUCUCUGGGAAAAGGCAGCAGCCAAAGUACCCUCACUGCCCUUGGAGAACAGGGGUACAAACACCUCCCACCUCAGCAGCUUCCUCCUCAGAGCUGGUGGUUUCUGUUCCCACCCAAAACUUUUGAGUUUUUAUCUUACUUUUCCCUGGAUUUUAACAUUCAGCAAGUCUGGGAAAGGAACAGUGCUGCUUCCCAGCUCUUCUGUACUGCUCAGACCCACCCCAGCUGCAAAAUAUGGCCACAAAGCUCUUUGGUUUUGGGAUGGGGUGUCCUGGGGGACACAGCAGCCCUGGCUCCAGGGGGAGGAUGCAGCCAGCAUCUCUCCCUGCUUCCCACCAGCCAGACCACGGGAAAUGACAGGAAUUGCUGGCAUUCUUCUGCAGCCACAGGCUUUCUCAGCCUCAGCCCUGUCCUCAGGGGCAACAGCGAGGUUUUUCCCACUGCCAUGGGAACUCUGAGUGGAUCUCGGGCUCCUCCACCCCCCAGUGUGGGGGUCCCUGGAGACCCCUGGCCCACAGGGAUACACCAGGGUGUCCAAGCUCUGGCCAACCCGGCCUUGGACAUUUUCAGGGCUCUGGAGCAGCCACAGCUUCCCUGGGCAACCUCACCACCCUCAGAGGGAAGAAUUUCUUCCUAA
RNAcentral lists this long non-coding RNA (1014 nucleotides) under Ficedula albicollis (Collared flycatcher). RNAcentral describes it as "lncRNA (ENSFALG00000025086.1)". Lineage: Eukaryota; Metazoa; Chordata; Aves; Passeriformes; Muscicapidae. The record is from RNAcentral.